UCUACGGGGGGCUGCAGUGGGGAAUAUUGCACAAUGGGGGAAACCCUGAUGCAGCGACGCCGCGUGAGCGAUGAAGGCCUUCGGGUCGUAAAGCUCUGUCCUAAGGGGAGAUAAUGACGGUACCUUAGGAGGAAGCCCCGGCUAACUACGUGCCAGCAGCCGCGGUAAUACGUAGGGGGCGAGCGUUGUCCGGAAUUACUGGGCGUAAAGGGUGCGUAGGCGGUCAUGUAAGUCAGAUGUGAAAGCCCUCGGCUUAACCGAGGUAAGCAUUUGAUACUGGUUAACUUGAGUGUAGAAGAGGAGAGUGGAAUUCCUAGUGUAGCGGUGAAAUGCGUAGAUAUUAGGAGGAACACCAGUGGCGAAGGCGACUCUCUGGUCUAUAACUGACGCUGAGGCGCGAAAGCGUGGGGAGCAAACAGGAUUAGAUACCCCUGUAGUC
This 439-nucleotide ribosomal RNA is filed under the name uncultured bacterium. Its description in RNAcentral is "bacterial SSU rRNA". It matches the Rfam family "Bacterial small subunit ribosomal RNA", at positions 338 to 795 of the family's 1533-position model. The record is from RNAcentral.